GGCCCAAAUUUGAAAUAGAGUGUAUUAGGAAGAUCAUCUGACUCUACUAAACUACACUACUUCGAGUUUGUGCCC
Molecule: microRNA precursor, 75 nt
Filed under: Haemonchus placei
Lineage: Eukaryota; Metazoa; Nematoda; Chromadorea; Rhabditida; Trichostrongylidae
Description: mir-5928 microRNA precursor family
Rfam family: mir-5928 microRNA precursor family
Source: Rfam by way of RNAcentral